ACGUAGGGGGCGAGCGUUGUCCGGAAUUACUGGGCGUAAAGAGCACGUAGGCGGGAAUUUAAGUCAAGUGUGAAAGACCGAGGCUCAACCUCGGGAUUGCAAGUGAAACUGGAUUUCUUGAGGGCAGGAGAGGAAAGCAGAAUUCCUGGUGUAGCGGUGAAAUGCGUAGAAAUCAGGAGGAAUACCAGUGGCGAGGGCGGCUUUCUGGACUGACCCUGACGCUGAGGUGCGAAAGCGUGGGUAGCAAACAG
RNAcentral lists this ribosomal RNA (251 nucleotides) under uncultured prokaryote. RNAcentral describes it as "partial 16S rRNA". It matches the Rfam family "Bacterial small subunit ribosomal RNA", at positions 525 to 775 of the family's 1533-position model. The record is from RNAcentral.